UACGGAGGGUGCAAGCGUUAAUCGGAAUCACUGGGCGUAAAGCGCACGUAGGCGGCUUGGUAAGUCAGGGGUGAAAUCCCACAGCCCAACUGUGGAACUGCCUUUGAUACUGCCAGGCUUGAGUACCGGAGAGGGUGGCGGAAUUCCAGGUGUAGGAGUGAAAUCCGUAGAUAUCUGGAGGAACACCGGUGGCGAAGGCGGCCACCUGGACGGUAACUGACGGUGAGGCGCGAAAGCGUGGGGAGCAA
This 248-nucleotide ribosomal RNA is filed under the name uncultured Bilophila sp. RNAcentral's name for it is "partial 16S ribosomal RNA". It matches the Rfam family "Bacterial small subunit ribosomal RNA", at positions 524 to 771 of the family's 1533-position model. Lineage: Bacteria; Pseudomonadati; Thermodesulfobacteriota; Desulfovibrionia; Desulfovibrionales; Desulfovibrionaceae. The record is from RNAcentral.